RNAcentral lists this ribosomal RNA (821 nucleotides) under uncultured bacterium. RNAcentral describes it as "bacterial SSU rRNA". It matches the Rfam family "Bacterial small subunit ribosomal RNA", at positions 8 to 816 of the family's 1533-position model. The record is from RNAcentral.
AGAGUUUGAUCAUGGCUCAGAUUGAACGCUGGCGGCAUGCCUUACACAUGCAAGUCGAACGGCAGCACGGGUGCUUGCACCUGGUGGCGAGUGGCGAACGGGUGAGUAAUACAUCGGAACGUACCUUAUCGUGGGGGAUAACGCAGCGAAAGCUGUGCUAAUACCGCAUACGCCCUGAGGGGGAAAGCGGGGGAUCGAAAGACCUCGCGCGAUUAGAGCGGCCGAUGCCUGAUUAGCUUGUUGGUGGGGUAAAAGCCCACCAAGGCGACGAUCAGUAGCUGGUCUGAGAGGACGAUCAGCCACACUGGGACUGAGACACGGCCCAGACUCCUACGGGAGGCAGCAGUGGGGAAUUUUGGACAAUGGGGGAAACCCUGAUCCAGCAAUGCCGCGUGAGUGAAGAAGGCCUUCGGGUUGUAAAGCUCUUUUGUCAGGGAAAGAAACACCGGCUCUAACACAGUCCGGGAAUGACGGUACCUGAAGAAUAAGCACCGGCUAACUACGUGCCAGCAGCCGCGGUAAUACGUAAGGUGCGAGCGUUAAUCGGAAUUACUGGGCGUAAAGCGUGCGCAGCGGUUAUACAAGACAGGCGUGAAAUCCCCUGGCUUAACCUGGGAAUGGCGCCUGUGACUGUAUAAGCUAGAAGUGUGUCAGAUGGGGUAGAAUACCACGUGUAGCAGUGAAAUGCGUAGAAUAUGUGGAGGAAUACCAAUGUCGAAAGGAGCCCCCUGGGAUAACACUUGACGCUCUUGCACCGAAAGCCUGGGGGAGCAAACAGGAUUAGAUAUACCCUGGUAGUCCACGCCCUUAACGAGGCUGAC